AGAGAGAGACAUGCGCGCAUAUCAAUAAGCGGAGGAAAAGAAACUAACAAGGAUUCCCUUAGUAACGGCGAGUGAAGCGGGAAGAGCUCAAAUUUGAAAUCUUCAAGGUUUUACCUUGACGAAUUGUAGUUUAAAGAAGUGUUUUCUGCUGAAGUUUUGGUAAAAGUUCUUUGGAAUAGGACAUCAUAGAGGGUGAGAAUCCCGUAUUUGACCAUUAUUUUCAGCUUUGUGAUAUACUUUCAAAGAGUCGGAUUGUUUGGGAAUGCAGUCCAAAAUGGGUGGUAAAUUUCAUCUAAAGCUAAAUAUUGGCGAGAGACCGAUAGCGAACAAGUACCGUGAGGGAAAGAUGAAAAGAACUUUGAAAAGAGAGUUAAACAGUACGUGAAAUUGUCAAAAGGGAAGCGUUUGACACCAGUGUUGUUUUCUCGAAAAUCAAUUAAAAAUGGCUCGAUUUUGUAUUGCUUGAGACCUUAAAAGCUCACUGUACAUUUUUCGUGUCUUUUUUAAUGCACUUUUCGUUUAACAAGUCAACAUCAGUUUCUUUUGUUGUAAAAGGGUCAUUGGAAGGUGGCUUUCUUUUCGGAGAAAGUGUUUAUAGCCUUUGGCCUCUGCAAUCGGAGAGACUGAGGUCUGCAGCGUAGACUCUUCGGGGUUAGAUACAUUUGUGCUAAGUUAUAGCUUUUUAUAGACAACUUGUUGACUAUAAUUAGUCUUGUAGCUUACUCGCUUAUGCUAUUUUACCUACGCUUAGGAUGUUGAAGAUGUAGCACAUCAU
Molecule: ribosomal RNA, 775 nt
Filed under: uncultured Neocallimastigales
Lineage: Eukaryota; Fungi; Neocallimastigomycota; Neocallimastigomycetes; Neocallimastigales
Description: partial large subunit ribosomal RNA
Rfam family: Eukaryotic large subunit ribosomal RNA
Source: RNAcentral